AACGUAGGAGGCAAGCGUUAUCCGGAUUUACUGGGCGUAAAGCGCGUGUAGGCGGCCCGGUAAGUCCGCUGUGAAAGUCGGGGGCUCAACCCUCGAAUGCCGGUGGAUACUGUCGGGCUAGAGUACGGAAGAGGCGAGUGGAAUUCCUGGUGUAGCGGUGAAAUGCGCAGAUAUCAGGAGGAACACCAAUUGCGAAGGCAGCUCGCUGGGACGUUACUGACGCUGAGACGCGAAAGCGUGGGGAGCAAACAGG
Molecule: ribosomal RNA, 253 nt
Filed under: uncultured bacterium
Lineage: Bacteria
Description: partial 16S ribosomal RNA
Rfam family: Bacterial small subunit ribosomal RNA
Source: RNAcentral